Molecule: long non-coding RNA, 358 nt
Organism: Rhineura floridana
Lineage: Eukaryota; Metazoa; Chordata; Lepidosauria; Squamata; Rhineuridae
Exons: 3
Source: RefSeq, a predicted model, not a curated record
UUGUUUGGGAUUUAGUGAAUUACAACACAUGCUACUUAACCUCAUUCUGUAAGGUGUGGGGUUUGUUUGUUUAAUCAAUUAUUUAAAAGAUUUAUUUUCUGUUCUAUAAAGCAAAAACUUCUGAAAACAGCAAAGGUUCCGUUUACGUUCUCACUUGCUGCGAUUCCAAUGGCCUUUCUUUACUCUUGCUGCAAAGUUGUACAGAAAAGAGAUUCCAAGCCAGUAAAUCCCAUACAGUGAGAAAGUAAUCAAAGGCUUGUGAUCAUGUCAGAACAAUGCAUGACAAAGGAAGAAAUGGUGAUCAAGAAGAACCAAGCUAUCACAUCAUUCUAUGCACCAAUGAAGCAGGCAGUCCUCC